CCUACGGGUGGCAGCAGUGGGGGAUAUUGCUCAAUGGGGGGAACCCUGAAGCAGCGACGCCGCGUGGAGGAUGAAGGGUUUCGGCGUGUAAACUCCUUUUGUUAGGGAAGAUAAUGACGGUAUCUGGCGAAGAAGCCCCGGCUAACUCCGUGCCAGCAGCCGCGGUAAUACGGAGGGUGCAAGCGUUACUCGGAAUCACUGGGCGUAAAGAGCGCGUAGGCGGGAUAGCAAGUCAGGUGUGAAAGCCUGGGGCUUAACCAUAGAACUGCAUUUGAAACUGGUGUGCUAGAGUACGGGAGGGGCAGGCGGAAUUCGUGGUGUAGGGGUAAAAGGCGUAGAGAUGAAGAGGAACACCGAUUGCGAAGGCGGCCUGCUGGAACGGAACUGACGCUGAUGCGCGAAGGCGUGGGGAGCAAACAGGAUUAGAUACCCCGGUAGUC
Molecule: ribosomal RNA, 440 nt
Filed under: uncultured bacterium
Lineage: Bacteria
Description: partial 16S ribosomal RNA
Rfam family: Bacterial small subunit ribosomal RNA
Source: RNAcentral